UAAAAAUGGCUCAGCAAAAAUGUAAGUACUCCCUAGCCCCAAUAUAAAACAAGCAUUAACUGAGAUUUGAUCCCAUUAUGUGUAAAGCUGUGUGCUGAGAACAGAAAAACCACAGGAAAUAAAAUACAGCAAUGUCUCCUGCACUCCAGAAGCCUGCAUAUUUGUUUUGAGAAGUUGCACAACCAAGUGUCCACAAAGGAGAACGAAGGAAGUACAAGAGUCCAAGCAACAUGCUGUUGGGAGGAAGUGAGGAGUAGAAGGGGCUGGAAGAUUUGAGGGUUUGGUCUGAUGGGAGACAGCCUAAGUCCUCUCCAGAGUGAUAUUCCAGAAGCCCUAGCAGAUUUUUGCUAGGAUGGCAAAGGAGACUUAGGGUCAAAGAUGAAGCUUUGUUCCACACAUUUUCAACAUGAACUGGAAAUAAUGGAAAAUCAAGAUAUACACCUGAGCUUUCCCAAGCAGUAGAGAACUAUACAGAGGGAAAUGAGGACAAAGAAGAAACCCAGACAUCAGGAAAAGAAAUUGCAAGUGGAAAAGGAACAGAAGUGGAAGAUACAGAGAGCAGGAAGAACAUUCUUACCUGUAUUCCAAAAAAUCCACAUAAUUAGCUAACAAGUUUGAUUGUACAGUUUCAAAUUUUGACUUGUAAAUGAGAUUACUACCUCAAAUUGGUGACUUUUACAAGUGUGUUCUUCUUUAAGAAAUCUGAAUUUACAUAAAAGAUUCAUUUGGGGAUGAUUGGGAUUGUUUUUAUGAUUUUUUUAAAAAGUUUUAGGAAAGU
Long non-coding RNA from Manis pentadactyla (Chinese pangolin), 778 nucleotides. RefSeq lists it as uncharacterized. Lineage: Eukaryota; Metazoa; Chordata; Mammalia; Pholidota; Manidae. The transcript has 4 exons. The record is from RefSeq and is a predicted model, not a curated record.